This 845-nucleotide long non-coding RNA is filed under the name Cricetulus griseus (Chinese hamster). Its description in RNAcentral is "lncRNA (ENSCGRG00000026319.1)". The record is from RNAcentral. Lineage: Eukaryota; Metazoa; Chordata; Mammalia; Rodentia; Cricetidae.
CUUUUAUUUUUUAAACAGGGUAACACAGAUUGUAAACACAACAGUUAGGUUAUUUUCAUUAGAAAGUAAAGUGCUAUCAAUUCCACCCCGUGGCCUGAAGAUGAAUAUGAAUCAAAUGGAGGUUUCUAAUGUUUUCCAGCCAGGCCAUAAGUGUUUUGGGGAGAAGGUCCUCACCAAGAGAGAAGCCAGUAGAUACAGUCUUAUCCAGGUCCAUGGGACACAUGGAUAUUUGGAGUCCUGGAGUUCUUACUCCCCUCUGUUAUGCUUUGUACUAAGGACUAGGAGCCUGUGGGAGGUCAUCCUGGCCACUGUUCAGCCCUUUAAACCAUGAGAGCAGAUCCAGUUUAAGGGAGAAGACUAACCUGCAUGCAGAGGUGUCCAGGCUCUUGACGAUGCAAUGUGAUGGCAUCAUCUAAUAAUGUUGUAGACCACACCCAUAGCUAUCUUGGAUACAUUCAGCCUGUCAAACACAGGUUGGACAUGACUGAGAAGCAAAGAAUGGACUCCUCUGUGUUCAAAGGGACUGUGGACAUGAAGGGUCUGCAGAAACUGGGCAUUUUCAUUUUCUAAUGUCCCAGUGCUCAGACCUAACAUUUUCCAAGCUUGCGUUUGUCUCAGAAGCAAAAUUCCAUUCCAAGUGUCUGUUCUUUGUCUUUUCAGCAGAGCAGGCCUGUGCUGAGACAGCUGUGAUCCAGUCACUGUGUGUCCCUGCCUUUGUCUGUCUCACUGAGAGGUGGGAAGAACUCGGCAUGCACUUCGGAACGUACGCCCGCCUUGAGGAAGGACAGGAGGAUGUGGAAAGUUUCCAAUCGAAUGGCGCUGUAGGGCAGUGUCGGCACACAUGA